Molecule: non-coding RNA, 240 nt
Organism: Cinara cedri
Lineage: Eukaryota; Metazoa; Arthropoda; Insecta; Hemiptera; Aphididae
Source: the annotation of a GenBank genome assembly
UUCAGGUGGUUAUGAAUAUAAAUUUGAGAUUAUUGAAAGCAGGAAUGCUUGUGAUAAAGAACUGCUUACCUUCCAAUUACAAUCUUAAUAACAUUAAACAUAUUUGUAGAGAGCACACGUUUCCAAGCGUGCAUAAAAUGGUUACAAUUUGCUCUAACAAUUCCAGUGAGUUCUGAUAUGUGUGAGAAAAGCUUCUCGUCAAUGUGUCGUCUAAAAACAUGACUAAAGGAAAGUUUGGAG